This is a long non-coding RNA of Aedes aegypti (yellow fever mosquito), 433 nucleotides long. RefSeq lists it as uncharacterized. The transcript is spliced from 2 exons. The record is from RefSeq and is a predicted model, not a curated record. NCBI's taxonomy places the organism in Eukaryota, Metazoa, Arthropoda, Insecta, Diptera, Culicidae.
CAAAGUAUGCAUUGCAAAAUUGAACACGAUCAAAGAUCACAAAUCUGUCAAUUUUCGAACCGAGUGGACGUCUAAAUUCUAGUCCAAAAUUCGGGAAAAGGAAAAAUUGAAAAUGUAUUGCAUCAGCUUCCCGUUCACAUCCUGUUGCUUGCCUAGCAGUUUCUUCUGCGAUGGACCGUGUGGACCUUGUGGACCCUGUCCGAACCAGAGCUGUGGGCCCUGCUGCGGUGGAACCGGCUGCUGCCUAGCCCCUUGUGGACCCUGUUGCAGCCCUUGCGGUGGACCCCGGAAGUUCGACCACGACAUGAGACUGCGCAAUGCUGGAUUUUACGACUGACGGGGAGUGCCAGGAUUGGAGCCAACAAGGAUAUUCAAGAGCGGAGAUAAUGUAAAAUAUCUGCAGAGCGAAUAAAAAUGAUGAAUGAAAUGAAAA